CCUACGGGCGGCUGCAGUGGGGAAUAUUGGACAAUGGGCGAAAGCCUGAUCCAGCCAUGCCGCGUGUGUGAAGAAGGCCUUCGGGUUGUAAAGCACUUUCAGUGGGGAAGAAAGCCUUGGGGCUAAUACCCUCGAGGAAGGACAUCACCCACAGAAGAAGCACCGGCUAACUCCGUGCCAAGCAGCCGCGGUAAUACGGAGGGUGCGAGCGUUAAUCGGAAUUACUGGGCGUAAAGCGCGCGUAGGCGGUCUGAUAAGCCGGUUGUGAAAGCCCCGGGCUCAACCUGGGAACGGCAUCCGGAACUGUCAGGCUAGAGUGCAGGAGAGGAAGGUAGAAUUCCCGGUGUAGCGGUGAAAUGCGUAGAGAUCGGGAGGAAUACCAGUGGCGAAGGCGGCCUUCUGGACUGACACUGACGCUGAGGUGCGAAAGCGUGGGUAGCAAACAGGAUUAGAUACCCCGGUAGUC
This 466-nucleotide ribosomal RNA is filed under the name Vreelandella stevensii. RNAcentral describes it as "partial 16S ribosomal RNA". It matches the Rfam family "Bacterial small subunit ribosomal RNA", at positions 338 to 795 of the family's 1533-position model. The record is from RNAcentral. Lineage: Bacteria; Pseudomonadati; Pseudomonadota; Gammaproteobacteria; Oceanospirillales; Halomonadaceae.